This 253-nucleotide ribosomal RNA is filed under the name uncultured bacterium. RNAcentral describes it as "partial 16S ribosomal RNA". It matches the Rfam family "Bacterial small subunit ribosomal RNA", at positions 524 to 776 of the family's 1533-position model. The record is from RNAcentral.
UACGGAGGGUGCAAACGUUAUCCGGAUUCACUGGGUUUAAGGGGUGCGUAGGUGGGUUGAUAAGUCAGUGGUGAAAUCCCCGAGCUUAACUUGGGAGCUGCCAUUGAUACUAUUAGUCUUGAAUACUGUGGAGGUCAGCGGAAUAUGUCAUGUAGCGGUGAAAUGCUUAGAUAUGACAUAGAACACCAAUUGCGAAGGCAGCUGGCUACACAAAUAUUGACACUGAGGCACGAAAGCGUGGGGAUCAAACAGG